GACGAACGCUGGCGGCGUGCCUAAUACAUGCAAGUUGAGCGAUGAAGAUUGGUGCUUGCACCAAUUUGAAGAGCAGCGAACGGGUGAGUAACGCGUGGGGAAUCUGCCUUUGAGCGGGGGACAACAUUUGGAAACGAAUGCUAAUACCGCAUAACAACUUUAAACAUAAGUUUUAAGUUUGAAAGAUGCAAUUGCAUCACUCAAAGAUGAUCCCGCGUUGUAUUAGCUAGUUGGUGAGGUAAAGGCUCACCAAGGCGAUGAUACAUAGCCGACCUGAGAGGGUGAUCGGCCACAUUGGGACUGAGACACGGCCCAAACUCCUACGGGAGGCAGCAGUAGGGAAUCUUCAGCAAUGGACGAAAGUCUGACCGAGCAACGCCGCGUGAGUGAAGAAGGUUUUCGGAUCGUAAAACUCUGUUGGUAGAGAAGAACGUUGGUGAGAGUGGAAAGCUCAUCAAGUGACGGUAACUACCCAGAAAGGGACGGCUAACUACGUG
This 497-nucleotide ribosomal RNA is filed under the name uncultured bacterium. RNAcentral's name for it is "partial 16S ribosomal RNA". It matches the Rfam family "Bacterial small subunit ribosomal RNA", at positions 28 to 507 of the family's 1533-position model. The record is from RNAcentral.